RNAcentral lists this ribosomal RNA (494 nucleotides) under uncultured bacterium. Its description in RNAcentral is "bacterial SSU rRNA". It matches the Rfam family "Bacterial small subunit ribosomal RNA", at positions 29 to 495 of the family's 1533-position model. The record is from RNAcentral.
AACUAACGCUGGCGGCGUGCCUAACACAUGCAAGUCGUACGAGAAAGUUGGCUUCGGCCGAUGAGUAAAGUGGCGCACGGGUGAGUAAUGCGUGGAUAAUCUGCCCUUUAGUUGGGAAUAACGUACCGAAAGGUGCGCUAAUACCUGAUAAUACUGCAUAACUACUGUUGUGUAGUCAAAGAAGGCCUCUGUUUACAAGCUUUUGCUGAAGGAUGAGUCCGCGUACCAUUAGCUGGUUGGUGGGGUAAUGGCCUACCAAGGCUACGAUGGUUAGCUGGUCUGAGAGGAUGAUCAGCCACACUGGAACUGAGACACGGUCCAGACUCCUACGGGAGGCAGCAGUGAGGAAUCUUGCGCAAUGGGGAAACCCUGACGCAGCAACGCCGCGUGAGUGAGGAAGGCCUUCGGGUCGUAAAGCUCUGUCAGAUGGGAAGAAAUAGGGUGGGGCGUAAUAUCGCCCACUCCUUGUACGGUACCGAUCAGAGGAAGCGACC